Molecule: non-coding RNA, 41 nt
Filed under: Schistosoma mattheei
Lineage: Eukaryota; Metazoa; Platyhelminthes; Trematoda; Strigeidida; Schistosomatidae
Source: RNAcentral
AUCUGACGAGUCCUAAACGGGACGAAGCACGCGUCUUGGAU